This is a long non-coding RNA of Pseudoliparis swirei, 387 nucleotides long. RefSeq lists it as uncharacterized. The record is from RefSeq and is a predicted model, not a curated record. NCBI's taxonomy places the organism in Eukaryota, Metazoa, Chordata, Actinopteri, Perciformes, Liparidae. The transcript is spliced from 3 exons.
UUCUAUGUCUACACAUUUCGCUGCUUCACUCCUCUGGGCUAAACCCAGCGCCGCCGCUCCCAUAACGCGCAUCGCUCUGCCGUGAUACGCGCGGAUCGCGCACACAGCUCCAUUCACCUUGGCAAAGAAUGUUCAUUUAAAAAAAUGUGACACAUUUGUGGUCGCGGGACUGCAUUCAUUUUCCACUGUGGAAUCUCCAUGGCUCAGGACAAGACCCUGCAGCCUGGUGGUGGAUGAAGAACUUUCAGACCUGUGUGUGUAGGACUCAUCGACACCAUCUGAGAGUUCGAGAGGUUUUCUCCUGUGCAGGACAUGUAAUUAGUCAGGAGAGGUGUCGUAUUUAGCAAAAGAAGGCAAAUAUGCUCAUAUUUCUGAAAAAGAAUAGCU